ACUUCGCGCAAUCGUCUUGGCCAAUUUUAUUUUUCGUUGUGGCCAACAUCUCAAUCGCCCUUUCACAUCACUAUUCGCUUGCUGCAGCUGUCUGGUGCAGGUUGCUGCAUCUCCGUACGAACAUUUCAGAUUGUACCAACAUGGCGGACGGCGGAAUAUCACUUCUGGAAAAGA
This is a long non-coding RNA of Manduca sexta (tobacco hornworm), 174 nucleotides long. RefSeq lists it as uncharacterized. The record is from RefSeq and is a predicted model, not a curated record. Lineage: Eukaryota; Metazoa; Arthropoda; Insecta; Lepidoptera; Sphingidae. The transcript is spliced from 2 exons.